RNAcentral lists this ribosomal RNA (497 nucleotides) under uncultured bacterium. Its description in RNAcentral is "partial 16S ribosomal RNA". It matches the Rfam family "Bacterial small subunit ribosomal RNA", at positions 28 to 507 of the family's 1533-position model. The record is from RNAcentral.
GAUGAACGCUGGCGGCGUGCCUAAUACAUGCAAGUCGAGCGAACAGACGAGGAGCUUGCUCCUCUGACGUUAGCGGCGGACGGGUGAGUAACACGUGGAUAACCCACCUAUAAGACUGGGAUAACUUCGGGAAACCGGAGCUAAUACCGGAUAAUAUAUUGAACCGCAUGGUUCAAUAGUGAAAGACGGUUUUGCUGUCACUUAUAGAUGGAUCCGCGCUGCAUUAGCUAGUUGGUAAGGUAACGGCUUACCAAGGCAACGAUGCGUAGCCGACCUGAGAGGGGGAUCGGCCACACGGGAACUGAGACACGGUCAAGACUCCUACGGGAGGCAGCAGUAGGGAAUCUUCCGCAGUGGGCGAAAGCCUGACGGAGCAACGCCGCGUGAGUGAUGAAGGUCUUCGGAUCGUAAAACUCUGUUAUUAGGGAAGAACAGAUGUGUAAGUAACUAUGCACGUCUUGACGGUACCUAAUCAGAAAGCCACGGCUAACUACGUG